GCUGUCCUGCACUUCCAGCACCACAGACAUGAGUGCUCUAUUGUGCCUGUGACAUCAGGGCAAAGAAGAAAUGGCUGUUUCUACACUCAGUGUUCAGAAACCAGUGAGCACUAAGAAUGGUUUAUAGCCUAACAUUU
Cynocephalus volans (Philippine flying lemur) is the source of this 137-nucleotide small nucleolar RNA. RefSeq annotates it as small nucleolar RNA SNORA43. The record is from RefSeq and is a predicted model, not a curated record. The transcript has a single exon. NCBI's taxonomy places the organism in Eukaryota, Metazoa, Chordata, Mammalia, Dermoptera, Cynocephalidae.